Molecule: ribosomal RNA, 2377 nt
Filed under: Diachasma alloeum
Lineage: Eukaryota; Metazoa; Arthropoda; Insecta; Hymenoptera; Braconidae
Description: bacterial SSU rRNA
Rfam family: Eukaryotic small subunit ribosomal RNA
Source: RNAcentral
UACUUGGAUAACUGUGGUAAUUCUAGAGCUAAUACAUGCAAAUUAGAGUUCCGACCAGAGAUGGAAGGAACGCUUUUAUUAGAUCAAGACCAAUCGGUGGUGGGUUUUACCUGUCCAUCGUUAACUUUGGUGACUCUGAAUAACUUUGUGCUGAUCGCAUGGUCUCGUACCGGCGACGAAUCUNAUUCCGACCAUAGAUGGAAGGAACGCUUUUAUUAUAUCAAGACCAAUCGGUGGUGGGUUUUACCUGUCCAUCGUUAACUUUGGUGACUCUGAAUAACUUUGUGCUGAUCGCAUGGUCUCGUACCGGCGACGAAUCUUUCAAAUGUCUGCCUUAUCAACUGUCGAUGGUAGGUUCUGCGCCUACCAUGGUUGUAACGGGUAACGGGGAAUCAGGGUUCGAUUCCGGAGAGGGAGCCUGAGAAACGGCUACCACAUCCAAGGAAGGCAGCAGGCGCGCAAAUUACCCACUCCCGGCACGGGGAGGUAGUGACGAAAAAUAACGAUACGGGACUCAUCCGAGGCCCCGUAAUCGGAAUGAGUACAGUUUAAAUCCUUUAACGAGGAUCCAUUGGAGGGCAAGUCUGGUGCCAGCAGCCGCGGUAAUUCCAGCUCCAAUAGCGUAUAUUAAAGUUGUUGCGGUUAAAAAGCUCGUAGUUGAAUCUGUGUGCCACGCUGUCGGUUCACCGCUCGCGGUGUUUAACUGGCAUGAUUGUGGGACGUCCUACCGGUGGGCUUAGCUCUGCGAAAGCAAGAGCGGUCCAACUAAUAUCCCAUCGCGGUGCUCUUCAUUGAGUGUCGAGGUGGGCCGGUACGUUUACUUUGAACAAAUUAGAGUGCUUAAAGCAGGCUAUUUUCGCCUGAAUACUGUGUGCAUGGAAUAAUGGAAUAGGACCUCGGUUCUAUUUUGUUGGUUUUCGGANUGCCACGCUGUCGGUUCACCGCUCGCGGUGUUUAACUGGCAUGAUUGUGGGACGUCCUACCGGUGGGCUUAGCUCUGCGAAAGCAAAAGCGUUCCAACUAAUAUCCCAUCGCGGUGCUCUUCAUUGAGUGUCGAGGUGGGCUGGUACGUUUACUUUGAACAAAUUAGUGUGCUUAAAGCAGGCUAUUUUCGCCUGAAUACUGUGUGCAUGGAAUAAUGNAGUAUUUAACUGGCAUGAUUGUGGGACGUCCUACCGGUGGGCUUAGCUCUGCGAAAGCAAGAGCGGUCCAACUAAUAUCCCAUCGCGGUGCUCUUCAUUGAGUGUCGAGGUGGGCCGGUACGUUUACUUUGAACAAAUUAGAGUGCUUAAAGCAGGCUAUUUUCGCCUGAAUACUGUGUGCAUGGAAUAAUGGAAUAGGACCUCGGUUCUAUUUUGUUGGUUUUCGGAACCCCGAGGUAAUGAUUAAUAGGGACAGAUGGGGGCAUUCGUAUUGCGACGUUAGAGGUGAAAUUCUUGGAUCGUCGCAAGACGAACAGAAGCGAAAGCAUUUGCCAAAAAUGUUUUCAUUAAUCAAGAACGAAAGUUAGAGGUUCGAAGGCGAUCAGAUACCGCCCUAGUUCUAACCAUAAACGAUGCCAGCUAGCGAUCCACCGAAGUUCCUCCGAUGACUCGGCAGGCAGCUUCCGGGAAACCAAAGCUUCUGGGUUCCGGGGGAAGUAUGGUUGCAAACCUGAAACUUAAAGGAAUUGACGGAAGGGCACCACCAGGAGUGGAGCCAGCGGCUUAAUUUGAUUCAAUACGGGAAACCUCACCAGGCCCGGACACCGGAAGGAUUGACAGAUUGAUAGCUCUUUCUUGAUUCGGUGGGUGGUGGUGCAUGGCCGUUCUUAGUUGGUGGAGCGAUUUGUCUGGUUAAUUCCGAUAACGAACGAGACUCUAGCCUGCUAAAUAGGCGUACUUUCUGGUAUCUUGAAGGCCCCUCGAUUUCGGUUGAGCGGUUUUUACUACCGACGUACAAACAANCACGUACAAACAAAUUUUCUUAGAAGGACAGGCGACUUCUAGCCGCACGAGAUUGAACAAUAACAGGUCUGUGAUGCCCUUAGAUGUUCUGGGCCGCAUGCGCGAUACACUGAAGGAAUCAGCGUGUCUUCCGUGGCCAAAAGGCCCGGGUAUCCCGCUGAACCUCCUUCGUGCUAGGGAUUGGGGUUUGCAAUUAUUCCCCAUGAACGAGGAAUUCCCAGUAAGCGCGAGUCAUAAGCUCGCGUUGAUUACGUCCCUGCCCUUUGUACACACCGCCCGUCGCUACUACCGAUUGAAUGAUUUAGUGAGGUCUUCGGACUGGUGCGCGGCAAUGUUUCGGCAUUGCCGAUGUUGCCGGGAAGAUGACCAAACUUGAUCAUUUAGAGGAAGUAAAAGUCGUAACAAGGUUUCCGUAGGUGAACCUGCGGAAG